AUUACUUUGACAGACAAGUGUGUUAAAUUUAGAAUUUAAAAAAAAAUUAGUAAUUUAAGUAAUA
RNAcentral lists this transfer RNA (64 nucleotides) under Philotrypesis sp. JHX-2011. RNAcentral's name for it is "tRNA-Leu". The record is from RNAcentral. Lineage: Eukaryota; Metazoa; Arthropoda; Insecta; Hymenoptera; Pteromalidae.